Oncorhynchus nerka (sockeye salmon) is the source of this 414-nucleotide long non-coding RNA. RefSeq lists it as uncharacterized. The record is from RefSeq and is a predicted model, not a curated record. NCBI's taxonomy places the organism in Eukaryota, Metazoa, Chordata, Actinopteri, Salmoniformes, Salmonidae. The transcript is spliced from 2 exons.
AGACGAUACUGAAAACUAAAUGCACGGCCAACUGGGAGCUGUGAACUGGGAAGCAGAUGUUCUUCUAAGGGACACCCUAGAGGCAGCAAUUUGGUGCAAACGUCAAACAUUUAAAGGCACUGUUUCCCUCCCUAGUGUAAUUGGGAUGGACGGGGAAGACCGCAUUACAACCCUUAAAGAACUACAGUUGUAUAAUGGCCUGGGUGAAGAGGAACAUAUUAUCCUCAAGGAACCAUUCAUGUUACAGAGAGAUUAUGAGAUGUUCUAUGUGGAGGCAGUUGACAACAAGAAAAUUACUGUCUUUGCCUCUUUUGAGGAGCAGGAGUGAAGCCAUUUUUGAGGAGUGGUCAAACCUUGUUUUUUCUGCUGUGUUAAUUGUGUUAUGUUGUUUAGUAAAGUUGACGUUGAAUUCAA